Molecule: long non-coding RNA, 1296 nt
Filed under: Chrysemys picta bellii (western painted turtle)
Lineage: Eukaryota; Metazoa; Chordata; Testudines; Emydidae
Description: lncRNA (ENSCPBG00000003271.1)
Source: RNAcentral
AUGAGACAAACACCAAGUCUAGGGUGCCAACAUUUGGGCUUUUACACUACUUUGAGUGAGCUACUGCUGCUCCAAGACGCCGUUCUGUCACUACCUGUUGCUCUGGCUAAUUUACGGGUGCCCCUGCUGCAGGGUCUGGCAGCAUUGCUGAGACCUUUGAUGCCUGAUGGGGGUUUGAACUGCCCUUUGCAUUGGGCUAGGGCACUGUCUAAAAGCUUUUUCUUCCUUUGCAGGGGGAGCCUGGACCUAUGGCCCCGAAAGGAGAAAAGUCCCGCAAGAGGCGUUCGCGGGUGAAUGCUGACCCUGAGCCUCCAAGUCCAAAGGUACAGAGCCUUUGUCUAGACAUCUCCUGUAUCUCAGUUUUUAUGGGGGCCCCUCUACUCCCAGAGUCAUUCUCCUGCUGCCCCAUUGUGCAUUUCAUUGGAUCUUUGUAUGGAAGAAGUUAAACACCAUCUCAGCCCCUUCAUUAUUCCCAGAUGAGAAAACUAGAACAGAGAGAGACCAAUGUGUUGCCAUUAGGAUUUGGUGAAUCGGGACUAGAACUAAUAGACCCCAACCUCGCACUCUUGUCCUCUAAACACUACCCUAGAUAAUACCACCUCUCAACUAGCCCCCUAAGUCAUGGACACUUUACUGGUGUGUAUCCUGACACUAGGCGCGUGUGUGCAUGUUUGUACACACAUCUCUGUAGAGAGGCUUAGCAUCCCAGAGAUAUUCUGAUAGCUGGGAUCUCAACCCCACGCUCUCAUUAAGCUCAUCUCAGGAUGACACGAACACAGUAUAAGAAUAACAGGUUACUUUAUUUUUUAGUAGUCUCUGCUGGUUCUUAUCCACUGGCCUCAGGGAUGGGGUUAAAGAAACACACUGCUAUUGUCCAGACAUUAUUUAAUCUCACGUUUGAAGGUGAGCAAUGUACUGCAAAUGUCUGUUACUUGAAUAAGAGACAAAUCGCUAACAGGGUCAUGCUGACCAAGGGGUGUCUUUGGAACAACGGAAGUUGUGCAACUUGGCGAAAGGAAGCAUCUUAAGGGUGGGUACAAAUGCAGCUCUUUUUAACUGCUUAAGUUCCUGCAAAACGUUUAAUCAAAAUACAGCUAUUAUUGACCCGAGGCUGUGGCAUAUGUUACUGGUACUACUGCCCUUGUUUGGGUUAAUAGUGAAACAGCGAAUCUAGUCCCCUUUGUUGUUAAACUGUGCAAAUCCGCAUCUCUGAUUGUCAGACUGUCAAAUACCAGUGUCUGUUUGUCUGUGUAACAUAGGCACUAUCAGAAUAAAUAUGAUUCUUUCUAAGGGCCA